RNAcentral lists this small nuclear RNA (101 nucleotides) under Jaculus jaculus (lesser Egyptian jerboa). The record is from RNAcentral. Lineage: Eukaryota; Metazoa; Chordata; Mammalia; Rodentia; Dipodidae.
UUGCUUUGGCAGCACAUAUACUAAAAUUGGAAUGAUAAAGAGAUUAGCAUGGUCCCUGCACAAGGAUGACAUGCACAAUUUGUGAAGUGUUCCAUAUUUUU